Molecule: ribosomal RNA, 410 nt
Filed under: Aquaspirillum sp. GWS2
Lineage: Bacteria; Pseudomonadati; Pseudomonadota; Betaproteobacteria; Neisseriales; Aquaspirillaceae
Description: bacterial SSU rRNA
Rfam family: Bacterial small subunit ribosomal RNA
Source: RNAcentral
AAAACCUUACCNCCUUUGACAUGUACGGAAGUUGCCAGAGAUGGCUUCGUGCUCGAAAGAGAGCCGUAACACAGGUGCUGCAUGGCUGUCGUCAGCUCGUGUCGUGAGAUGUUGGGUUAAGUCCCGCAACGAGCGCAACCCUUGCCAUUAGUUGCUACGAAAGGGCACUCUAAUGGGACUGCCGGUGACAAACCGGAGGAAGGUGGGGNUGACGUCAAGUCCUCAUGGCCCUUAUAGGUGGGGCUACACACGUCAUACAAUGGCUGGUACAGAGGGUUGCCAACCCGCGAGGGGGAGCUAAUCUCAUAAAACCAGUCGUAGUCCGGAUCGCAGUCUGCAACUCGACUGCGUGAAGUCGGAAUCGCUAGUAAUCGCGGAUCAGCUUGCCGCGGUGAAUACGUUCCCGGGCA